RNAcentral lists this ribosomal RNA (370 nucleotides) under uncultured bacterium. RNAcentral's name for it is "partial 16S ribosomal RNA". It matches the Rfam family "Bacterial small subunit ribosomal RNA", at positions 331 to 718 of the family's 1533-position model. The record is from RNAcentral.
CCAGACUCCUACGGGAGGCAGCAGUGGGGGAUAUUGCACAAUGGGGGGAACCCUGAUGCAGCGACGCCGCGUGGGUGAAGGAGCGUUUCGGCGCGUAAAGCCCUAUCGGCAGGGAAGAAGGAGGACGGUACCUGACUAAGAAGCCCCGGCUAACUACGUGCCAGCAGCCGCGGUAAUACGUAGGGGGCAAGCGUUAUCCGGAUUUAUUGGGUUUAAAGGGUGCGCAGGCGGAUUUUUAAGUCAGCGGUCAAAUCGUGGGGCUCAACCCCAUCCAGCCGUUGAAGCUGGGGAUCUAGAGUGUGCGAGAGGUAUGCGGAAUGCGUGGUGUAGCGGUGAAAUGCAUAGAUAUCACGCAGAACCUCGAUUGCGA